Molecule: long non-coding RNA, 1086 nt
Filed under: Homo sapiens (human)
Lineage: Eukaryota; Metazoa; Chordata; Mammalia; Primates; Hominidae
Description: long non-coding RNA NONHSAT150387.1
Source: RNAcentral
GAGUCUUCUGCUCUUCCUCAACUACCAAAGCAGAAAAACAUCAGCGAAGCAGCAGGCCAUGCACCCCCCAAAAACUCCAUCUGGGGCUCUUCAUAGAAAAAGGAAAAUGGCAGCCUGGCCCUUCUCCAGGCUGUGGAAAGUCUCUGAUCCAAUUCUCUUCCAAAUGACCUUGAUCGCUGCUCUGUUGCCUGCUGUUCUUGGCAAUUGUGGUCCUCCACCCACUUUAUCAUUUGCUGCCCCGAUGGAUAUUACGUUGACUGAGACACGCUUCAAAACUGGAACUACUCUGAAAUACACCUGCCUCCCUGGCUACGUCAGAUCCCAUUCAACUCAGACGCUUACCUGUAAUUCUGAUGGCGAAUGGGUGUAUAACACCUUCUGUAUCUACAAACGAUGCAGACACCCAGGAGAGUUACGUAAUGGGCAAGUAGAGAUUAAGACAGAUUUAUCUUUUGGAUCACAAAUAGAAUUCAGCUGUUCAGAAGGAUUUUUCUUAAUUGGCUCAACCACUAGUCGUUGUGAAGUCCAAGAUAGAGGAGUUGGCUGGAGUCAUCCUCUCCCACAAUGUGAAAUUGUCAAGUGUAAGCCUCCUCCAGACAUCAGGAAUGGAAGGCACAGCGGUGAAGAAAAUUUCUACGCAUACGGCUUUUCUGUCACCUACAGCUGUGACCCCCGCUUCUCACUCUUGGGCCAUGCCUCCAUUUCUUGCACUGUGGAGAAUGAAACAAUAGGUGUUUGGAGACCAAGCCCUCCUACCUAAAUCACCUGUCGCAAGCCAGAUGUUUCACAUGGGGAAAUGGUCUCUGGAUUUGGACCCAUCUAUAAUUACAAAGACACUAUUGUGUUUAAGUGCCAAAAAGGUUUUGUUCUCAGAGGCAGCAGUGUAAUUCAUUGUGAUGCUGAUAGCAAAUGGAAUCCUUCUCCUCCUGCUUGUGAGCCCAUUGUAUUAAUUUACCAGACAUUCCACAUGCUUCCUGGGAAACAUAUCCUAGGCCGACAAAAGAGGAUGUGUAUGUUGUUGGGACUGUGUUAAGGUACCGCUGUCAUCCUGGCUACAAACCCACUACAGAUGAGCCUACGACUGUG